UACGUAGGGUGCAAGCGUUGUCCGGAAUUAUUGGGCGUAAAGAGCUCGUAGGCGGUCUGUCUCGUCUGCUGUGAAAACUCAGGGCUUAACCCUGAGCUUGCAGUGGGUACGGGCAGACUAGAGUGCGGUAGGGGAGACUGGAAUUCCUGGUGUAGCGGUGAAAUGCGCAGAUAUCAGGAGGAACACCGGUGGCGAAGGCGGGUCUCUGGGCCGUAACUGACGCUGAGGAGCGAAAGCAUGGGGAGCGAACAGG
This 253-nucleotide ribosomal RNA is filed under the name uncultured bacterium. RNAcentral's name for it is "partial 16S ribosomal RNA". It matches the Rfam family "Bacterial small subunit ribosomal RNA", at positions 524 to 776 of the family's 1533-position model. The record is from RNAcentral.